RNAcentral lists this ribosomal RNA (459 nucleotides) under Steinernema sp. YNa145. RNAcentral describes it as "partial 28S ribosomal RNA". It matches the Rfam family "Eukaryotic large subunit ribosomal RNA", at positions 358 to 821 of the family's 3401-position model. The record is from RNAcentral. Lineage: Eukaryota; Metazoa; Nematoda; Chromadorea; Rhabditida; Steinernematidae. RNAcentral also lists the same sequence under 1 other name.
GGAAAGUUGCAAAGUACUUUGAAGAGAGAGUUCAAGAGGACGUGAAACCGGUAGGAUGGAAGCAGAUGAAGUUGACGAACGUGUGUCGUACUCAGAAUCGCUGUCAGCGGUUUGUUUUUACGGCCGAUGUGGGCCGGCGGCUUUGGUCAAUGCAACGCGUCUAGCGUCGAUGGAGACCCUGCGGAGGGAUAAUCGGUCGGCGUACGGUGCUUGGUAUGGCUAAGGUUUCGCCGGUCUUAAAGUCAGCGCCUCAUCUGACCCGUCUUGAAACACGGACCAAGGAGUGUAGCGUUUGCGCAAGUCUUAGAGUGUGUCGAAACUUUGAGGCGUAACGAAAGUAAAUGCAGUUUAACCUGCUGACUUGGGAUGCGUUGUCUCCUGUGGACGGCGCUGGACCAUGGUUUUAUCGCGAUCGCUUGCGAUGCGGUGAAAAUAGAGCGUAAACGGUGCGACCCGAAA